RNAcentral lists this ribosomal RNA (601 nucleotides) under Guptibacillus hwajinpoensis. RNAcentral describes it as "bacterial SSU rRNA". It matches the Rfam family "Bacterial small subunit ribosomal RNA", at positions 84 to 667 of the family's 1533-position model. The record is from RNAcentral. Lineage: Bacteria; Bacillati; Bacillota; Bacilli; Caryophanales; Guptibacillaceae.
CCCUGAUCUUAGCGGCGGACGGGUGAGUAACACGUGGGCAACCUGCCCUGCAGACUGGGAUAACUCCGGGAAACCGGAGCUAAUACCGGGUAAUACAUCGCACCGCAUGGUGCAAUGUUGAAAGUUGGCUUUCUGAGCUAACACUGCAGGAUGGGCCCGCGGCGCAUUAGCUAGUUGGUAAGGUAAUGGCUUACCAAGGCGACGAUGCGUAGCCGACCUGAGAGGGUGAUCGGCCACACUGGGACUGAGACACGGCCCAAACUCCUACGGGAGGCAGCAGUAGGGAAUCUUCCGCAAUGGACGAAAGUCUGACGGAGCAACGCCGCGUGAGUGACGAAGGCCUUCGGGUCGUAAAGCUCUGUUGUUAGGGAAGAACAAGUACCGUUCGAAUAGGGCGGUACCUUGACGGUACCUAACCAGAAAGCCACGGCUAACUACGUGCCAGCAGCCGCGGUAAUACGUAGGUGGCAAGCGUUGUCCGGAAUUAUUGGGCGUAAAGCGCGCGCAGGCGGUCUUUUAAGUCUGAUGUGAAAGCCCACGGCUCAACCGUGGAGGGUCAUUGGAAACUGGAGGACUUGAGUGCAGAAAAGGAGAGUGGAAU